GACGAACGCUGGCGGCGUGCUUAACACAUGCAAGUCGAACGGUGAAGCGCCUUCCUUUUUGGUGGGUGUGGAUGAGUGGCGAACGGGUGAGUAACACGUGAGUAACCUGCCCCCUUCUUCUGGAUAACCGCAUGAAAGUGUGGCUAAUACGGGAUAUUCUGGGUCUGUCGCAUGAUGGGUCUGGGAAAGAUAUUGUUUCGGUGGGGGAUGGGCUCGCGGCCUAUCAGCUUGUUGGUGGGGUGAUGGCCUACCAAGGCGGUGACGGGUAGCCGGCCUGAGAGGGUUGACGGUCACACUGGGACUGAGACACGGCCCAGACUCCUACGGGAGGCAGCAGUGGGGAAUAGUGCACAAUGGGCGCAAGCCUGAUGCAGCGACGCCGCGUGAGGGAUGGAGGCCUUCGGGUUGUGAACCUCUUUCGCCAGUGAAGCAGGCCUGCCUCGUUUGUGGGUGGGUUGACGGUAGCUGGAUAAGAAGCGCCGGCUAACUACGUG
RNAcentral lists this ribosomal RNA (494 nucleotides) under uncultured bacterium. RNAcentral describes it as "partial 16S ribosomal RNA". It matches the Rfam family "Bacterial small subunit ribosomal RNA", at positions 28 to 507 of the family's 1533-position model. The record is from RNAcentral.